UCCAAGAAACGAGUCUCUACAUCUCCCGCCGCAACAUCCAGUUGUUAUAAACCCGUGUGUUUGUGUGUGCUUCCCUUCCGCAGGUCCAAGUGCUGCUGUACUACUUGCAGCACCCGCCCCUCUCCUUCGCCGAGCUCAAGCGCAACCUGCUCUACUUCUCCACUGACGUGUAGACUACAAGCAAACGGCGGACCACCUUUUUCAAAGCGGGGAGACGCACAACCCGACCGAGGAGGAGGUGGCGGACAAUGUUGUUGUUGUCGUUAUUCCCCGGGACUCUCGGACGACUGUUUUGUACACCUCCCCCUGUACUUCCCCCCUUUAGUAGUCCGAAUCUCUUCCCGGGAAGCGGCAAAACACGGACGUUCUGCCCCAAGACAACGAGGGCAACCGUCUCCUCCCCGAACGGCAGCUCGGAAGGAACUACGGGCUCGCAUUCCCGUCCUUCCUUCCUCCGAAGCGGUUUUCCUCGCGCCCGCGUCACGAAAAGGUCCCAAACGAGAGCUCUCGUUUCCCCCUCGCGGUUUAUAUUUAUGGUUUGACGCGGAGAUAUUUUUGUUGCCAAAUUCCCCAGCUUCGUGGCUUCGGUCUCCUCGAUCCGGAGCUUUUCUUGUGGGGAAACCGUGCCCCGAACAGGGUUUCGUUGCUUACAGGGUCCGACUCCGGAAGUCUCAGGGGAGGAGGGUUUCCUUUCCCCGCAAACGACGGAUUCGCUUCUUGCACAUCCAAGGCCUCUCUCUUGUUUUUAUUUUAGUUGUAUUAUUUAAUAAGAGUUUUAUUCACGGAUCUCGCCGGGACGACUUAAGCUUAAAGUUUCUGACAAGCGGUACUAUUGUGCUCCAUUUUGGCGCCCAAACAGGGACACCCGUCGACUCAAAACCUUCAGAUUUAAAGUUAGGAAACUACGCUCUCUUUUCUUGGCGCCCAAACAGGGACACCCGUCGACUCAAAACCUUCAGAUUUAAAGUUAGGAAACUACGCUCUCUUUUCUUGGCGCCCAAACAGGGACACCCGUCAACUCAAAACCUAUAG
This 1032-nucleotide long non-coding RNA is filed under the name Anolis carolinensis (green anole). Its description in RNAcentral is "lncRNA (ENSACAG00000034604.1)". Lineage: Eukaryota; Metazoa; Chordata; Lepidosauria; Squamata; Anolidae. The record is from RNAcentral.